GGGGGUAGUCUUAUACAGCAACUGUGCCAGGAGCCAGGCUUACGGAAAAGUUUUUGCAGGCGAGAAAAAGGAAGGGGAUCUCAUCUCAAACCAGUCCACCAUUUAUUGUUCAAUGACAAGUAGAAAAUUUCAUCUGUGUGAGAAGGACUUUAUCGGUUGGUAGUAGGGGAAUUCAGAUGCCUACCUUUCAUCAUCUUCAUUAUCACGGUUGAUAUCACCACAGUACAUGUCAUCGUUCUGCACAAGAGAAUCCUCGCAGGAAAGAAGAAUGCAACACAUUGUUCUCAUGGUUUCCUUUGACCACUUGCUCUAUCACUAUGGAGAUCUCCAGCAGAAGUAGGGAAUGCCAACCAGAACCUCUUCAGGACUUCACUCAUCCCCACUUCCAACCACAGUUGCGAUGCUCCUUCACUACUGCACAAUGAGGAGGUGUAUGGCUGCUCAAGCAGAUGCUCAUCUCAGAUGUCACCAUCCUUUUAUUACCCAUCCGAAGCUCCUCUUCAGAUGUGUCUGGAACAGGAUGGGUGGUAAUUCCAAACCAACAAUCCAGGUGGACUAAUUGUUUAAUCAAGUUACUGCUAAUGAAGUCAAUUAUAGGA
This is a non-coding RNA of Pogona vitticeps (central bearded dragon), 599 nucleotides long. The record is from RefSeq and is a predicted model, not a curated record. NCBI's taxonomy places the organism in Eukaryota, Metazoa, Chordata, Lepidosauria, Squamata, Agamidae.